GCCCCUCUUAUUGUGCUCUGCAACAAGCCAUGACUCAAAUGCUGAAAAGAGGAGCGAAGUGGCAAUACCUCCCAAAACACGGCCCAACAUUAGAACCUUGUAUUCAGGAGAAUGCUUGGUGAUGCAACUCAGAAUGUAUGUAAUACAAUAAGUAAUGCAAGCCCUCUUUCGACCUUGUUUGUCAGCUAGAGAACCAACAAUUGUACCAAACAACAUG
RNAcentral lists this unclassified non-coding RNA (217 nucleotides) under Hevea brasiliensis (rubber tree). Lineage: Eukaryota; Viridiplantae; Streptophyta; Magnoliopsida; Malpighiales; Euphorbiaceae. The record is from RNAcentral.